RNAcentral lists this long non-coding RNA (1328 nucleotides) under Nicotiana benthamiana. RNAcentral's name for it is "long non-coding RNA (NBEN_LNC012891)". Lineage: Eukaryota; Viridiplantae; Streptophyta; Magnoliopsida; Solanales; Solanaceae. The record is from RNAcentral.
AGCAUCUGAAGAUCAUAGACAUGCCAUCUACUAUCAUUGGUGGAUCUACGUUUAGCUGAAGGUUGGCAUCGCUCUCUCCCGCUUUCCCCUCAAAAUUUCUGUGCACAAAUAUAUACAUGCACUGCAAUGCAUAUUAUGGUAAUUGGUGGAUCCACGUUUAGCUGAAGGUUGGCAUCGCUCUCUCCCUCUUUUCCCUCAAAAUUUCAAAAACCUUGUAGUAAACCCAAAACACAAAAAACUAAUACACAAUUUAUCAAAUUUGCAUCUGUCCUGCCUAGAAGUGAAUCCAAGAUUUAAAAUGGUACACGUGACUUUUAAAAAUUUUAGCGACGAAUUUAUUAUACUUAUAAAACUAUGGGUUAAUAUUAGUUUACAUUUUAGUGGGUCCCACCAUCUCAAGUAAAAAUAUAAAGGGAAAUGUGGAAAAUGUUAAAAGGGGUUCCAGACAUUAAACAUCGUAAUAUAAAAGAGUUGCCCCCUAGAUAUCUAGUACCUUGGAUCUUCUUUUAUUAACUAGCUUCUUUUCACGUGCACAUGUAUCCAUAUUAAUCAGUACAAAGCUUUUCAAAAUUCGUAAACUGAAUUUAUAAUUACAUUUUUCUACAUCAAUGUUGAAGGUUAAUUUAGUUUUUAAAGGGUUAAUAUUGAAGGACAAAUGUAAAAACACUGUAGCAAUGAUAAGUUAAUUUAAUGGCAGAUGCAAGAGAACUCGUCAUACACUCUAAACUUGAUCUCAAAAGAUAUCUGAUACUUGAUUAAAAAAUUUGUACAUACCUGGUUUCUCAUUUCUCAGGAGUAACUAAAGGGAUGCAUUUGAUAAGUGUACUAUAUGUAUAUACACAUGUAUUAAAGUAUUCAAUCAGUCUCUACAUCUUCAAGCAUCAUUAUAUUGGCUUUUAUUGUUACCCCUACGCAUUUAUUAUAAGAUGCUUGAGUACAACAUUGAAGGUAAGUUUACUUUUUGGUACAAAAAUAUUAUAUAAAUAGUAUUUAAAUAAAGGGUAAAAAGGUCAUUUUGGUUUUUGAUGGGUAUUCUAGUAAUUUAAUCUUACACUUUGGGCUUCACAUUUACAAUAUAGUAUAUAUAUGAAGAUUUACAUAACUGUAAAAGGAAUAUAAAACCUCUCUAUAACAACAAUGUUUAUUCACAUAUUUAUAGGCUUUUAUAGUAAAUGACUGAAAUACACCUAUAGCAACAUUUGACGUUUAAAUAUUUCUGGUUGUUAUAGACAAAUAUUAUUAAAAAUAUAAUCUUUUUUCAUUUUUUAAUGUUACAUAUAAUAGAUAAGAAAUUAUUCAAAUCUAAAAUCUCAAAAGAUGUGCAUACU